This 541-nucleotide ribosomal RNA is filed under the name uncultured bacterium. RNAcentral describes it as "bacterial SSU rRNA". It matches the Rfam family "Bacterial small subunit ribosomal RNA", at positions 774 to 1314 of the family's 1533-position model. The record is from RNAcentral.
AGUCAAUAGAUACCCGGUAGUCCAUGCCGUAAACGAUGAUUGCUAGGUGUGGGGGGUCUGACCCCUUCCGUGCCGGAGUUAAACAACAAAUAAGCAAUCCACCUGGGGAGGUACGGCCGCAAGGUUGAAACUCAAAGGAAUUGACGGGGGCCCGGCACAAGCAGUGGAGUAUGUGGUUUAAUUCGAAGCAACGCGAAGAACCUUACCAGGUCUUGACAUCCACCGAAUCCUGUAGAGAUACGGGAGUGCCCUUCGGGGAACGGUGAGACAGGUGGUGCAUGGUUGUCGUCAGCUCGUGUCGUGAGAUGUUGGGUUAAGUCCCGCAACGAGCGCAACCCUUGUGAAUAGUUGCUACGAAAGAGCACUCUAUUCAGACCGCCGUUGACAAAACGGAGGAAGGUGGGGAUGACGUCAAAUCAUCAUGCCCCUUAUGACCUGGGCUACACACGUACUACAAUGGCCGUUAACAGAGGGAUGCAAUGCCGCGAGGUGGAGCGAACCCCUAAAAACGGUCUCAGUUCAGAUUGCAGGCUGAAACUCG